This 253-nucleotide ribosomal RNA is filed under the name uncultured bacterium. RNAcentral describes it as "partial 16S ribosomal RNA". It matches the Rfam family "Bacterial small subunit ribosomal RNA", at positions 524 to 776 of the family's 1533-position model. The record is from RNAcentral.
UACGUAGGGUCCGAGCGUUGUCCGGAAUUACUGGGCGUAAAGAGCUCGUAGGUGGUUUGUCGCGUUGUUCGUGAAAACUCACAGCUCAACUGUGGGCGUGCGGGCGAUACGGGCAGACUAGAGUACUGCAGGGGAGACUGGAAUUCCUGGUGUAGCGGUGGAAUGCGCAGAUAUCAGGAGGAACACCGAUGGCGAAGGCAGGUCACUGGGCCGCAACUGACGCUGAGGAGCGAAAGCAUGGGGAGCGAACAGG